Molecule: small nucleolar RNA, 131 nt
Filed under: Chelydra serpentina (North American snapping turtle)
Lineage: Eukaryota; Metazoa; Chordata; Testudines; Chelydridae
Description: Small Cajal body specific RNA 24 (ENSCSRG00000005290.1)
Rfam family: Small Cajal body specific RNA 24
About the family: scaRNAs are a specific class of small nuclear RNAs which localise to the Cajal bodies and guide the modification of RNA polymerase II transcribed spliceosomal RNAs U1, U2, U4, U5 and U12.
Source: Rfam by way of RNAcentral
UGGACAUUUAGAUUUUUUUUUCUUUCUCCUUUGUGGUGAUAAUUAUACAUAAGUGUCCUUCGUUAACAUAGAAGCUUUCAGUUCAUUCUUCUCAAGUUAAUAAGCAGUGUAUCAUUCCACUUCUAACACUU